ACCUGGUGUUCAGGGCAUUUAAUGCACAAUUUCUUGAAUCGUUCCCAAUAGUCAUAAAGUGACUCCCCAGAGUGCUGUUUAAUACCGCAUAUCUCCUUUCGCAGACU
Molecule: small nucleolar RNA, 107 nt
Organism: Coffea arabica (coffee)
Lineage: Eukaryota; Viridiplantae; Streptophyta; Magnoliopsida; Gentianales; Rubiaceae
Source: RefSeq, a predicted model, not a curated record